UACGUAGGGUGCAAGCGUUGUCCGGAAUUAUUGGGCGUAAAGAGCUCGUAGGCGGUUUGUCGCGUCUGCUGUGAAAACUCGGGGCUUAACUCCGGGCCUGCAGUGGGUACGGGCAGACUAGAGUGCGGUAGGGGAGACUGGAAUUCCUGGUGUAGCGGUGAAAUGCGCAGAUAUCAGGAGGAACACCGGUGGCGAAGGCGGGAUCCUGGGCCAGUACUGACGCUGAGGAGCGAAAGCGUGGGGAGCAAACAGG
RNAcentral lists this ribosomal RNA (253 nucleotides) under uncultured bacterium. RNAcentral's name for it is "partial 16S ribosomal RNA". It matches the Rfam family "Bacterial small subunit ribosomal RNA", at positions 524 to 776 of the family's 1533-position model. The record is from RNAcentral.